CGCCAGACUCCUACGGGAGGCAGCAGUGGGGGAUAUUGCACAAUGGGGGAAACCCUGAUGCAGCGACGCCGCGUGAGCGAUGAAGUAUUUCGGUAUGUAAAGCUCUAUCAGCAGGGAAGAAAAUGACGGUACCUGACUAAGAAGCCCCGGCUAACUACGUGCCAGCAGCCGCGGUAAUACGUAGGGGGCAAGCGUUAUCCGGAUUUACUGGGUGUAAAGGGGGCGCAGACGGCAGCGCAAGCCAGGAGUGAAAGCCCGGGGCCCAACCCCGGGACUGCUCUUGGAACUGCGCGGCUGGAGUGCAGGAGGGGCAGGCGGAAUUCCUGGUGUAGCGGUGAAAUGCGUAGAUAUCAGGAGGAACACCGGUGGCGAAGGCGGCCUGCUGGACUGCGACUGACGUUGAGGCCCGAAAGCGUGGGGAGCAAACAGGAUUAGAUACCCCCGUAC
RNAcentral lists this ribosomal RNA (447 nucleotides) under uncultured bacterium. RNAcentral describes it as "partial 16S ribosomal RNA". It matches the Rfam family "Bacterial small subunit ribosomal RNA", at positions 329 to 793 of the family's 1533-position model. The record is from RNAcentral.